This 719-nucleotide long non-coding RNA is filed under the name Homo sapiens (human). RNAcentral's name for it is "HSALNT0070806". The record is from RNAcentral. Lineage: Eukaryota; Metazoa; Chordata; Mammalia; Primates; Hominidae.
GUAGAGAAGGCAGAAAUCAGAAUUCUGUGCUGCUUACGUAGCUUCAACUGAUGAGGCAGAAAAGAAAAAAACGAGCAAAAUGAGGACUCAAAAGUCUGCACGGCCCUGGUCCAUGAUUGAUCCAGCAUAUGCAAGGUGAAUUUUCAUAACGUAUAGCAGAGUAGCUGCCACAGCACUGAGAGCGGAAUAGAGACACAACACAGUGAGCAGAACAGGAAAAUGUUGGAAUUCUGGCUCAAUCAUGGUAGGCAAACUUCACCAAAGAACUUGGUCACUUAGCUGAGACUUCAGAAAGAAUAAGUGGUCAGAACUGUACUCUAUAGUAAAUAAUAUGCUCUAAGACCAAGAGAAAAUAAAAAAUACAUCAGCUGUAACAAAUAAUAAAUUAAACCUAAAAUGAUCAAGAAGAUCUGCUAUUAAUUAAGCUGCCUGCGAGAAGAAAAUUCAACACUAUUAAAUAGUUGAAGAAAGUAAUAGAAAAGGAAAGACUCCAUGAGAACACACCUAAGCACAGGGAGGAAAAUGGUUCAGGGUAUGAGUCUCAGGGAAGACGUUCAAUGCAAAUUCCUCACUCUAAGGUCACCGAAGGUACAGCAGUUAAUUCAGCUGUUAACCAUUUUAACCUGAGGGGUUGUUGAAACUAAAUCCUCUUUUAAAGGCUUUCUAAGAUUUACUGAUGAUUUCAAAAUAGCUUGAGAAUCAGAUUAACUGAAACAUUU